RNAcentral lists this ribosomal RNA (438 nucleotides) under uncultured bacterium. Its description in RNAcentral is "bacterial SSU rRNA". It matches the Rfam family "Bacterial small subunit ribosomal RNA", at positions 26 to 507 of the family's 1533-position model. The record is from RNAcentral.
CAAGAACGAACGCUGGGCGGCAUGCCUAACACAUGCAAGUCGAACGAGACCUUCGGGUCUAGUGGCGCACGGGUGCGUAACGCGUGGGAACCUGCCUUUAGGUUCGGAAUAACUCAGAGAAAUUUGAGCUAAUACCGGAUAAUGUCUUCGGACCAAAGAUUUAUCGCCUUUAGAUGGGCCCGCGUUGGAUUAGCUAGUUGGUGGGGUAAAGGCCUACCAAGGCGACGAUCCAUAGCUGGUCUGAGAGGAUGAUCAGCCACACUGGGACUGAGACACGGCCCAGACUCCUACGGGAGGCAGCAGUGGGGAAUAUUGGACAAUGGGCGAAAGCCUGAUCCAGCAAUGCCGCGUGAGUGAUGAAGGCCUUAGGGUUGUAAAGCUCUUUUACCCGAGAUGAUAAUGACAGUAUCGGGAGAAUAAGCUCCGGCUAACUCCGUG